AGGGUUUGAUCAUGGCUCAGAACGAACGUUGGCGGCGUGGAUGAGGCAUGCAAGUCGAGGGAGAAAGCACCUUCGGGUGUGAGUAAACCGGCGAACGGGUGAGUAACACGUAAUCAAGCUACCCUUGAGACCUGGAUAACGGGGGGAAACUCCCGCUAAUACUGGAUGGUGCAAUCGGGUCGCAUGUUCUGAUUGCUAAAGGUGGGGAUCCUGCGGGACCUGUCACUCGAGGAGGCGAUUGCGGCCUAUCAGCUUGUUGGUGAGGUAACGGCUCACCAAGGCAACGACGGGUAACAGGCCUGAGAGGGUGGUCUGCCACACUGGGACUGAGACACUGCCCAGACUCCUACGGGAGGCUGCAGUCGAGAAUCUUCCGCAAUGGGCGAAAGCCUGACGGAGCGACGCCGCGUGAAGGACGAAGGCCCUAGGGUUGUAAACUUCUGUCGCAAAUUAUGAAUGCCGUACGGUGAAUAUCCGUGCGUUUGACGUAAGUUUGGAAGGAAGCACCGGCUAACUCUGUGCCAGCAGCCGCGGUAAUACAGAGGGUGCAAACGUUGUUCGGAAUCACUGGGCAUAAAGCGCGCGUAGGCGGCAAGGCCAGUGCAGAGUGAAAGCCCACGGCUCACCCGUGGAACUGCUUUGCAUACUGCCUUGCUAGAGUACGGUAGGGGAGAGCGGAACUCUUGGAGGAGCGGUGAAAUGCGUAGAUAUCAAGAGGAACACCAAAGGCGAAGGCAGCUCUCUGGUCCGUCACUGA
Molecule: ribosomal RNA, 757 nt
Filed under: uncultured bacterium
Lineage: Bacteria
Description: bacterial SSU rRNA
Rfam family: Bacterial small subunit ribosomal RNA
Source: RNAcentral